GAUGAAGAACGUAGCGAAAUGCGAUACGUAGUGUGAAUUGCAGAAUUCAGUGAAUCAUCGAAUCUUUGAACGCACAUUGCGCCCGGCAGUAAUCUGCCGGGCAUGCCUGUCCGAGCGUCAUUUCACCCCUCGAGCCGCUUUUAGUGGAUCGGUGUUGGGGCACUACGGUAAAACGUAGGCCCUGAAAUGAAGUGGCGGUCCCGCCGCGGUGCCCCCAUGCGUAGUAACGUUUAGUCUCGCAUCGGGUCCCGGCGGAGGCCUGCCGUCAAGCCUAUUUAUUCUCAGAAUAGUUUGACCUCGGAUCAGGUAGGGUUACCCGCUGAACUUAAGCAUAUCAAUAAGCGGAGGA
This 349-nucleotide unclassified non-coding RNA is filed under the name soil metagenome. RNAcentral describes it as "partial contains 5.8S ribosomal RNA, internal transcribed spacer 2, and large subunit ribosomal RNA". The stretch from base 1 to 120 matches the Rfam family "5.8S ribosomal RNA", at positions 35 to 154 of the family's 154-position model. The record is from RNAcentral.